This is a long non-coding RNA of Quercus robur (English oak), 858 nucleotides long. RefSeq lists it as uncharacterized. The record is from RefSeq and is a predicted model, not a curated record. Lineage: Eukaryota; Viridiplantae; Streptophyta; Magnoliopsida; Fagales; Fagaceae. The transcript is spliced from 3 exons.
UGUUGUCUGAGUCACUCAAUUUGAAUACUUCCACGCCGUUUAAAAUGGCAUCGAUCAAAUCAGCAUCUAAUCUAGAGUGUAGAUCAAUGGAAAGCAGAUGUGUGUCAUUACCCUUGUUUUUUAUCAUCACCACGAAGUCCUUGUAGUAAGGCGUAUCGUUGUCGUCAGUCCACAAUAGUACAUCUGCUCUUUCUUCAGCCAGCUGAUAGUCUAUAUAGAUAUAGAAUUCCCUUGUCCCACUGGCAUGUAUCUCAGACUCUAUUUCGCAGAAAUGGAGCCUCACCAGAUAAUUGAAUCCUGUAUCAACAGGUAAGCCCCAUGUCAAAUUAGACUGCUUGUUCUUAGUUCUGUCUGGACCCAUUGAUAUUGCAGACUGAUAGACCGCAUCAGGUGCAGUGUAAUUUGGUAUUUUUGUGUAUUUUGGCUUCAAAGAUGGAUCGCGAGGCACAAAGCCUCCAGACAACAAAUAAUCUCUAUCCUCUGACCAUUUUCUGAACAUGCCUGUGUCUUCCUUUGCUUGUAUCGCACUUCCACCCACGUUUAAUCGAUAAACCAUUUCGAGAGCCAUGCUGUAGUCUAUGUAGAUCGGAUUAGGUUGGCCGACAUAAACUGGGACGAAUUCUUCACCUUUAAUGACAUCUUGUGGCUUGUAGUACAGGUCCAUAGGCAUGGAGACUAUCUCAAUUCCAUUGAUGAAAGCAUGGUAAUUCAUAGAAGUACUUGUAAAAGGGAUGAAGGUUAAGUUCAAUUUUUGAUUCUCAUCAACAUUGAUGCAGAACUCUUUAUAAAUAUCCUUUCGGUCCAAUGAAUGAGUAUAAAUGGAAGCACUGAAGUUUCUAAGUAAGGUGAACGAACCUG